ACGUAGGUGGCAAGCAUUAUCCGGAUUUACUGGGCGUAAAGGGUGCGUAGGCGGAUUUUUAAGUGAGAUGUGAAAUACCCGGGCUCAACCUGGGGGCUGCAUUUCAAACUGGAAAUCUAGAGUGCAGGAGAGGAAAGUGGAAUUCCUAGUGUAGCGGUGAAAUGCGUAGAGAUUAGGAAGAACACCAGUGGCGAAGGCGACUUUCUGGACUGUAACUGACGCUGAGGCACGAAAGCGUGGGGAGCAAACAG
This 251-nucleotide ribosomal RNA is filed under the name uncultured prokaryote. RNAcentral's name for it is "partial 16S rRNA". It matches the Rfam family "Bacterial small subunit ribosomal RNA", at positions 525 to 775 of the family's 1533-position model. The record is from RNAcentral.